Molecule: ribosomal RNA, 412 nt
Filed under: uncultured bacterium
Lineage: Bacteria
Description: bacterial SSU rRNA
Rfam family: Bacterial small subunit ribosomal RNA
Source: RNAcentral
UUGGACAAUGGUCGCAAGACUGAUCCAGCCAUGCCGCGUGCAGGAAGACGGCCCUAUGGGUUGUAAACUGCUUUUGUACCAGAGAAAACCUAUCUACGUGUAGAUAGCUGAUAGUAUGGUAAGAAUAAGCAUCGGCUAACUUCGUGCCAGCAGCCGCGGUAAGACGAAGGAUGCAAGCGUUAUCCGGAUUCGUUGGGUUUAAGGGUGCGUAGGCGGGCUUGUAAGUCAGUGGUGAAAUCUCUCAGCUUAACUGAGAAACUGCCAUUGAUACUGCAGGCCUAGAGUAUAGAUGACGUUGGCGGAAUAUGACAUGUAGUGGUGAAAUACUUAGAUAUGUCAUAGAACACCGAUUGCGAAGGCAGCUAACGAAACUAUAACUGACGCUGAGGCACGAAAGUGCGGGGAUCAAACA